GGGCUUAACCCCAGACCUGCAUUCGAUACGGGCGAGCUAGAGUGUGGUAGGGGAGACUGGAAUUCCUGGUGUAGCGGUGGAAUGCGCGGAUAUCAGGAGGAACACCAAUGGCGAAGGCAGGUCUCUGGGCCAUUACUGACACUGAGGAGCGAAAGCGUGGGGAGCGAACAGGAUUAGAUACCCUGGUAGUCCACGCCGUAAACGGUGGGCACUAGUUGUGGGAACCUUCCACGGUUUCUGCGACGCAGCUAACGCAUUAAGUGCCCCGCCUGGGGAGUACGAUCGCAAGAUUAAAACUCAAAGGAAUUGACGGGGCCCCGCACAAGCAGCGGAGCAUGCGGCUUAAUUCGACGCAACGCGAAGAACCUUACCAAGGCUUGACAUAUACAGGAAUAUGGCAGAAAUUCCAUAGCCGCAAGGUCUGUAUACAGGUGGUGCAUGGUUGUCGUCAGCUCGUGUCGUGAGAUGUUGGGUUAAGUCCCGCAACGAGCGCAACCCUCGUUCUGUGUUGCCAGCAUUUAGUUGGGGACUCACAGGAGACUGCCGGGGUUAACUCGGAGGAAGGUGGGGAUGACGUCAAAUCAUCAUGCCCCUUAUGUCUUGGGCUGCACGCAUGCUACAAUGGCUGGUACAAACGGCUGCGAUACCGCAAGGUGGAGCGAAUCCGAUAAAGCCAGUCUCAGUUCGGAUUGGGGUCUG
This 699-nucleotide ribosomal RNA is filed under the name uncultured bacterium. RNAcentral describes it as "bacterial SSU rRNA". It matches the Rfam family "Bacterial small subunit ribosomal RNA", at positions 605 to 1307 of the family's 1533-position model. The record is from RNAcentral.